This 1785-nucleotide long non-coding RNA is filed under the name Homo sapiens (human). RNAcentral's name for it is "HSALNT0337956". Lineage: Eukaryota; Metazoa; Chordata; Mammalia; Primates; Hominidae. The record is from RNAcentral.
CUGUGAUCCAAGAAAACAGUGAUGAGUCUUGUGGUGAUCACUUAGCUGCUGACAUGGUGGGAUGGAGGAUUCCAGAAUGCGUCAUGACUCACUGCCAUUGUGUUUACAGACUUACAGCAUACCAUGAAGACUCUACAUUAAAGCCACUUCUUAAAGCAAAUGCCAUGUCCUACAGUGCCAUCUGCAGAGAAGCAGUUUGCACUUGACAGAAAUCAAGGUCUUCUAAGCCCCAAGUUAAAGAACUCUAUUCAGCCGGGCGCGGUGGCUUAUGCCUGUAAUCCCAGCACUUUGGAAGGCCGAGGCGGGCGGAUCAUCUGAGGUUGGGAGUUCAAGACCAGCCUGACCAACAUGGAGAAACCCCGUCUCUACUAAAAAUACAAAAUUAGCCUGGGGUGGUGACACACGCCUGUAAUUCCAGCUACUAAGGAAGGCUGAGGCAGGAGAAUUGCCUGAAUCUGGGAGGCGGAGGUUGCAGUGAGCCGAGAUCGUGCCAUUGCUCUCCAGCCUGGGCAACAAAAGCGAAACUCCAUCUCUAAAAACAAAAACAAAAACAAAAACAAAACUCCAUUCAAAAGUAAAGUAGAAACACUAUCUUGAUGCACCAAAAGACCAACUGCUCACAACUUUGGUUCCAAGGUCUGGAGAAUUUGCUGAGUCUGUGAGGCCUGGAGUUUCACAGCCAGUAUCCAAACAGGGACUAUUUCUGAUUAAUGUGUUGCUAGGUAACUCAUAAUUAUACAAGCAAAGAAGCAAGUUCAAUGUAAUAUAACUCACAUUGAUUUUUUUGGCUAUGCUGUAAGAGCUUGAUGUUAAUGUAUAGGAAAAAAAUUCCCAAUAUCCCCCAAACAUUUUGUUCCAAUAAAUACUUCUUAAUAUUUUGAAAUCACCUGGUUGUUCUUAUAGAUCUGAAAGUAUUUGAAACACAUUUUUAUUAUGAAUCAUGAUUUAGGCUCCUGAUAGACAGUUUUGUGAGCAUACUGACUUCUCUAUAAAUAUUACCAGCUCAUUCAAACUAAGUGGAGCAAGUGAAUAGAUUUGUGGUCCUUUCCGUACAGACUUAGAAACUUCCCGGUUUUAUUUUGGUCUAAUUAUAGGUUUUGACUUUUUCAAGGUACAUAAUCAAAGUCUGACCCCUAAAAACGUCUAAUAAAGCUAUGCUUUAAAGGCCAAAGAAAUAAACACAUUAUUUUAAGUGUCAUGGAGUUAGUGCAAAUCCAUGUAUCUUUGCAGGCCAGGGGGUGUUUUCUACCAGAUGAGGGCCUAAGGCAAUGAGGCGGCACAGACAUAAUAAAAGUCUGACGCAGAGAGGAUUUGAAUACCAGCUAGAGUAGUGGAAACAUGUUGUCAAUAAAUGUCUCAGGUCAAGAAACACACAAAAUGAGAAGAAAUCGUAGCAACCACCUUGCAGUGACCAAAAAAAUCUAUAUAUAUUGUCGGGAUAAUUCUGAGAAUAAAGCAGUACUAUGAUGCUAAAAAGAUGGUCUUCCUAAAUUGCAAUAUGAAUGACUGCACGUUAGAAAAGCAUGUAUUUUGGACCAACGUUGUGAAACUAAGCUGUCUUGGGACACCAGGCAUGAAGGCAAUGGGGCACAUUGGUUACGAGUUCUGGGUUUGGCCAGGGUGUGAAUUCCAACUCUCAUUGACCUUGAGGAUGUUAUUUCAAUUUUUUGUGGUUUAGUUUUCUUAUCUGUAUCUCACAAGGUUAUCAGAAAGAUUAUAUAUAAUCAUGUAUAAAGCUUGACAUCUGGCCUCUCAAAUGCUAAAAUAAAAAAUAAAAAAUAAAAA